This 294-nucleotide ribosomal RNA is filed under the name uncultured bacterium. RNAcentral describes it as "partial 16S ribosomal RNA". It matches the Rfam family "Bacterial small subunit ribosomal RNA", at positions 480 to 776 of the family's 1533-position model. The record is from RNAcentral.
CUAUGCGCCUUGCCCAGCCCGCUCAGGUGUGCCAGCCGCGCGGUAAUACGGAGGUGCAAGCGUUAAUCGGAAUUACUGGGCGUAAAGCGCACGCAGGCGGUUUGUUAAGUCAGAUGUGAAAUCCCCGGGCUCAACCUGGGAACUGCAUCUGAUACUGGCAAGCUUGAGUCUCGUAGAGGGGGUAGAAUUCCAGGUGUAGCGGUGAAAUGCGUAGAGAUCUGGAGGAAUACCGGUGGCGAAGGCGGCCCCUGGACGAAGACUGACGCUCAGUGCGAAAGCGUGGGAGCAAACAGG